AGUGAACGCUGGCGGUAGGCCUAACACAUGCAAGUCGAACGGCAGCACAGUAAGAGCUUGCUCUUACGGGUGGCGAGUGGCGGACGGGUGAGGAAUACAUCGGAAUCUACUUUUUCGUGGGGGAUAACGUAGGGAAACUUACGCUAAUACCGCAUACGACCUACGGGUGAAAGCAGGGGAUCUUCGGACCUUGCGCGAUUGAAUGAGCCGAUGCCGGAUUAGCUAGUUGGCGGGGUAAAGGCCCACCAAGGCGACGAUCCGUAGCUGGUCUGAGAGGAUGAUGAGCGAGACGAGAGCUGAGACACGGACCAGCCUCAAACGGGAGCCAGCAGUGGGGAAUGGUGGAAUAUGGGCGGAAGCCUGAUCAAGCCAUACCGGGGGGAUGAAGAAGGGCUUCGGGUUGUAAAGCUCUUUUGAGGGUAAAGAAAAGAAGAAGGUUAACACCCCGCUGUUCUGACGGUACCAAAAGAAUAAGCACCGGCUAGCUUCGU
RNAcentral lists this ribosomal RNA (491 nucleotides) under uncultured bacterium. RNAcentral's name for it is "partial 16S ribosomal RNA". It matches the Rfam family "Bacterial small subunit ribosomal RNA", at positions 29 to 506 of the family's 1533-position model. The record is from RNAcentral.